RNAcentral lists this ribosomal RNA (490 nucleotides) under uncultured bacterium. RNAcentral's name for it is "partial 16S ribosomal RNA". It matches the Rfam family "Bacterial small subunit ribosomal RNA", at positions 28 to 507 of the family's 1533-position model. The record is from RNAcentral.
GAUGAACGCUAGCGGCAGGCCUAAUACAUGCAAGUCGAACGGGAUCCAGAUCAAAGCUUGCUCUGGUUUGGUGAGAGUGGCGUACGGGUGCGUAACGCGUGAGCAACCUACCCUUGUCAGGGGGAUAGCCCGGCGAAAGUCGGAUUAAUACCGCAUGACAUCAUUGAGAGGCAUCUUUCGAUGAUCAAAGAUUUAUCGGACAAGGAUGGGCUCGCGUGACAUUAGCUAGUUGGUAAGGUAACGGCUUACCAAGGCUACGAUGUCUAGGGGCUCUGAGAGGAGAAUCCCCCACACUGGUACUGAGACACGGACCAGACUCCUACGGGAGGCAGCAGUAAGGAAUAUUGGUCAAUGGACGGAAGUCUGAACCAGCCAUGCCGCGUGCAGGAAGACGGCCCUAUGGGUUGUAAACUGCUUUUAUACGGGAACAAACGUCGGUACGUGUACCGGUCUGAGUGUACCGUAAGAAUAAGGAUCGGCUAACUCCGUG